GACGAACGCUGGCGGCGUGCUUAACACAUGCAAGUCGAACGCUGAAGCUCAGCUUUUGUUGGGUGGAUGAGUGGCGAACGGGUGAGUAACACGUGAGUAACCUGCCCCCUUCUUUGGGAUAACGCCCGGAAACGGGUGCUAAUACUGGAUAUUCACUGGUCUUCGCAUGGGGGUUGGUGGAAAGGGUUUUUCUGGUGGGGGAUGGGCUCGCGGCCUAUCAGCUUGUUGGUGGGGUGAUGGCCUACCAAGGCUUUGACGGGUAGCCGGCCUGAGAGGGUGACCGGUCACAUUGGGACUGAGAUACGGCCCAGACUCCUACGGGAGGCAGCAGUGGGGAAUAUGGCACAAUGGGCGCAAGCCUGAUGCAGCGACGCCGCGUGAGGGAUGGAGGCCUUCGGGUUGGGAACCUCUUUCGCUCAUGGUCAAGCCGCAACAAUGGUUGUGGUGAGGGUAGUGGGUAAAGAAGCGCCGGCUAACUACGUG
Molecule: ribosomal RNA, 483 nt
Filed under: uncultured bacterium
Lineage: Bacteria
Description: partial 16S ribosomal RNA
Rfam family: Bacterial small subunit ribosomal RNA
Source: RNAcentral